UACGGGGGGGGCAAGCGUUGUUCGGAAUUACUGGGCGUAAAGGGCGUGUAGGCGGCUUGGUAAGUCCGCUGUGAAAGUCCAGGGCUCAACCCUGGAAAUCCAGUGGAAACUGCCAAGCUAGAGUCCGGAAGAGGCGAGUGGAACUCCUGGUGUAGCGGUGAAAUGCGCAGAUAUCAGGAAGAACACCAAUGGCGAAGGCAGCUCGCUGGGACGCGACUGACGCUGAGACGCGAAAGCGUGGGGAGCAAACAGG
This 253-nucleotide ribosomal RNA is filed under the name uncultured bacterium. RNAcentral's name for it is "partial 16S ribosomal RNA". It matches the Rfam family "Bacterial small subunit ribosomal RNA", at positions 524 to 776 of the family's 1533-position model. The record is from RNAcentral.